UGCUAGGCAGAUCUAGUUUAUGAGGUACCCCAGACCCAAAGGGCAUGGGAACUGUCCAGGAGUGGACCAGGCAAAGGGACCCAUGGCAAUCAGGACCACAUGGGUUCUGGGCACUGGUGAAAGGGAUGGGCUCUGCCUGACGCAUUUACUUUCUUCUCUGCAAAGUUUUCUUUUCCUGCAAAGAUCAUGAACAUGGCAGUGACUCAGUGCUGUCUAAUUUUACCUGUGUCCCUGGUGACCCUGUCUUCUCAUCAUGAGGACUCAAGGACCAGCCUCCCACCCACAGGUCAGAAAAGGUCAUCACUGGCCUCACUCAGAAGAUGAUGAGUCCAUUUUAAUAGGGUGCUCUCAUCUCUAGGUGAGUGUGGGAACACUGACAGAAAGGAAAAUAAUUGCGUUUUCUUCCAAAGCCGCCCGAAAUGGUUUCUACAGUAAUGGUGAAAACAGGACUCCUUGCAUCUCUGGACAUUUUGUUGCGCAGGCUGUAAUGAGCGAGAAAAAAUGUCUUGCUUUUAAUAGCUAUCCUCUGAUGCUUCGUGUGUGGGAAGGAGCUGUUCAGUGCCUGCUGUUUGCUCAGCCAGUCUCCAAUUAUUUUUUUGACAGGUGGCCCACUUGGGGAGCAACUGAAAGGACUGGCCUCUGAGACUACAAAUCAAGCUCUUUUCCCACGAAGUCUGUUUUAUUGUUGUGAAGGGGUUUCUGUGGAGUAGACCUGGAAGCCUUCACUGCACAGCUUCUUCAUUGACUCCUCCUCCAGAAUCCAGAAGCUUCAUUCCAACUAGAAGCUGCAGAGAGGUGGAGAGGCUUCAGUGGACACAGAUUUGAAGCCAUCAACUUCCCCAAAGGCCAACUGUGACUGAAGUCUGUUGCCAUACUGUUUAGCUGCUGAAGUAAUACUCACACAGUAUUCUGGGUAAUUUUUGUAGUGUGUGAGUGUGAAUAUGUGUG
Molecule: long non-coding RNA, 948 nt
Organism: Alexandromys fortis (reed vole)
Lineage: Eukaryota; Metazoa; Chordata; Mammalia; Rodentia; Cricetidae
Exons: 3
Source: RefSeq, a predicted model, not a curated record